Molecule: ribosomal RNA, 439 nt
Filed under: uncultured bacterium
Lineage: Bacteria
Description: bacterial SSU rRNA
Rfam family: Bacterial small subunit ribosomal RNA
Source: RNAcentral
GACGAACGCUGGCGGCGUGCUUAACACAUGCAAGUCGAACGGAAAGGCCCUGCUUUUGUGGGGUGCUCGAGUGGCGAACGGUGAGUAACACGUGAGUAACCUGCCCUUGACUUUGGGAUAACUUCAGGAAACUGGGGCUAAUACCGGAUAGGAGCUCCUGCUGCAUGGUGGGGUUGGAAAGUUUCGGCGGUUGGGGAUGGACUCGCGGCUUAUCAGCUUGUUGGUGGGGUAGUGGCUUACCAAGGCUUUGACGGGUAGCCGGCCUGAGAGGGUGACCGGCCACAUUGGGACUGAGAUACGGCCCAGACUCCUACAGGAGGCAGCAGUGGGGAAUAUUGCACAAUGGGCGGAAGCCUGAUGCAGCAACGCCGCGUGCGGGAUGACGGCCUUCGGUUGUAAACCGCUUUCGCCGUCGUUGACGAAGCGUGAGUGACGGUAA